AUACGGAGGAUCCGAGCGUUAUCCGGAUUUAUUGGGUUUAAAGGGUGCGUAGGUGGUUUGAUAAGUCAGCGGUGAAAGUUUGCAGCUUAACUGUAAAAAUGCCGUUGAAACUGUCGGACUUGAGUGUAAAUGAGGUAGGCGGAAUGCGUGGUGUAGCGGUGAAAUGCAUAGAUAUCACGCAGAACUCCGAUUGCGAAGGCAGCUUACUAAGCUACAACUGACACUGAAGCACGAAAGCGUGGGGAUCAAACAGGAUUAGAUACCCUGGUAGUCCACGCAGUAAACGAUGAUUACUAGCUGUUUGCGAUACACAGUAAGCGGCACAGCGAAAGUGUUAAGUAAUCCACCUGGGGAGUACGCCGGCAACGGUGAAACUCAAAGGAAUUGACGGGG
Molecule: ribosomal RNA, 393 nt
Filed under: uncultured bacterium
Lineage: Bacteria
Description: partial 16S ribosomal RNA
Rfam family: Bacterial small subunit ribosomal RNA
Source: RNAcentral